AGUGAACGCUGGCGGUAGGCCUAACACAUGCAAGUCGAACGGCAGCACAGUAAGAGCUUGCUCUUACGGGUGGCGAGUGGCGGACGAGUGAGGAAUACAUCGGAAUCUACUUUUUCGUGGGGGAUAACGUAGGGAAACUUACGCUAAUACCGCAUACGACCUACGGGUGAAAGCAGGGGAUCUUCGGACCUUGCGCGAUUGAAUGAGCCGAUGUCGGAUUAGCUAGUUGGCGGGGUAAAGGCCCACCAAGGCGACGAUCCGUAGCUGGUCUGAGAGGAUGAUCAGCCACACUGGAACUGAGACACGGUCCAGACCCCUACGGGAGGCAGCAGUGGGGAAUAUUGGACAAUGGGCGCAAGCCUGAUCCAGCCAUACCGCGUGGGUGAAGAAGGCCUUCGGGUUGUAAAGCCCUUUUGUUGGGAAAGAAAAGCAGCAGGUUAAUACCCCGCUGUUCUGACGGUACCCAAAGAAUAAGCACCGGCUAACUUCGUG
This 492-nucleotide ribosomal RNA is filed under the name uncultured bacterium. RNAcentral's name for it is "partial 16S ribosomal RNA". It matches the Rfam family "Bacterial small subunit ribosomal RNA", at positions 29 to 507 of the family's 1533-position model. The record is from RNAcentral.